This 152-nucleotide small nuclear RNA is filed under the name Sorex araneus (European shrew). Its description in RNAcentral is "U1 spliceosomal RNA (ENSSARG00000014758.1)". It matches the Rfam family "U1 spliceosomal RNA". Rfam says of the family: U1 is a small nuclear RNA (snRNA) component of the spliceosome (involved in pre-mRNA splicing). Its 5' end forms complementary base pairs with the 5' splice junction, thus defining the 5' donor site of an intron. There are significant differences in sequence and secondary structure between metazoan and yeast U1 snRNAs, the latter being much longer (568 nucleotides as compared to 164 nucleotides in human). The record is from RNAcentral. Lineage: Eukaryota; Metazoa; Chordata; Mammalia; Eulipotyphla; Soricidae.
UAACUGAUCAGGCAGGGGAGAGACCAAGAUCACUAAGGUGAUUUUUCCAGGUUGAGGCUUAUUCUCAUGCUGAAGCCUUGGAUUCUCCAAAGGUGGGAAACACAGCUGCAUAAUUUGUGGCCAUGGGAGGCCUGUGUUCGUACUCUCUGUUG